Molecule: long non-coding RNA, 392 nt
Filed under: Laticauda laticaudata (blue-ringed sea krait)
Lineage: Eukaryota; Metazoa; Chordata; Lepidosauria; Squamata; Elapidae
Description: lncRNA (ENSLLTG00000016883.1)
Source: RNAcentral
CAAACGUGCUGGACGUUAGUUCCUUAUUUGUCUUUUUCCCUUUUGGGGGGCACCACCAACUUCCUCGUCGAAUCUGAUGAUGUGGCAAGCGGAUUCCUCUGCCCUGAACUAGCCGGUGGCGCGUUAAUUCCCCCUUUGCCUGCAGACCUGCUCGGACCCCACCGAGAGGAUGGAAAUGACAUCGGUGAGGCUGCUGGUCUGGUCCUUCCUCCUUUUGAUCCUGGGAAAUCUCACCUGGGCUGCAGAUCCCCCAAACUACUGCUACGGGGCCCCCGGUCUGCCUGGAGUCCCAGGACCUCCAGGGAAAGAUGGGCGCGAUGGACAUCGAGGACCCAAAGGAGAACCAGGUCCUCCGGCUGCCCCGGGAAAGCACGGACCCAAGGGAGAGCCGG